This 1254-nucleotide long non-coding RNA is filed under the name Homo sapiens (human). RNAcentral's name for it is "MACROD2 antisense RNA 1, transcript variant 1 (MACROD2-AS1)". Lineage: Eukaryota; Metazoa; Chordata; Mammalia; Primates; Hominidae. The record is from RNAcentral.
GAGCUGCUAGGUUGGUGAACACAUGGAGGUGCGGGGAGGGUGGCGAGCCCAGCGAGGACGUGGAUUCCCCACGGCCCUUCCCACAUACCCCGUUCUUUCAUUUGGCUGUUUCUGAGUUGUGUGCUUUAUAAUCAACUGACAAUGAACAGUGGAAGUACCAAGUCAAAGAACAAAAAACAAAAACAAAACCACAAUAAAAAACCUAGGAGAGAAGCAAUAAUAUGGAGAAAGUGCAAGAAUGAAUUAGCUGCCCAUGCCCAGCUAAUUGAGGUGAAGGCUGGAAGAGGUCCAGGAAAGAAUCUCACCAUAGCUGAUGGAGUGGUUCAGGAGCUGGAGAUCUGGGCUUGGAAGACACCUCUCUAUGAAUGAAUGAGAUACAGCUCAUGUUCCUAUUGCAGAGGAUGAAAAGCAGGCCCACAGAGAAGAAAAAUGUAGAGUCUAAAGGAUAUGACAACAGUACUGGGUAGAGCCUAGGUAAAUAGCAUUGGAGAGGUUACACCAAUGAGAAUCGGGAUGUUCCAGCAGACGGAGAAUGACAGUGACUCUGGAGGAUGUAGUGGUCUCCCAGACUGUGAGGGCAGGAAGGGAUCUUAGUUCCAUCCAUUUGCUGUGUAGGGGAGGAAAAUGAAUGGAGAAAAAGGCCAAGUAAAAUGUUCAAGGGCAUAGAUGUCAUUCUGCUGCUCAGAACUUGCCUUCCUCACUCUUAUUUCUCACCUUGCCUUUCCUUCUCCUUGUUUACAGAAUGAAGUCCAACUCUUUAGUAUGACAUCAAUGGCUUGACUUUGCAGUUUGACUUCAUAGUAAUCCCUUUGCUUAUUUUUCAGUUUGCCUAAAAAUAUUCUGUGCUUUUCCCUGAUUCCCAGCUCAUGCUAUUCUUUCUGAAUUGAAUGUCUCUCUUUCCUCUAUCCAUUUCUUGAAAUUCUGGAUUUAAGAGCCAGUUUAAGACUCAGAAUUCUAAAUGUCCAAAACAUUUUCUUCAAAUCUCUCCCUUCCAAGAAAUAUUUUUCCUUAUUUCCAAGCCAUAUAUCACUCUGUGGUAUUUCUCUUGUGUAAAUGUCACCUUGUAUCAUGACUGCUAGAGUUCUCAUAAUCAGGUGGCAAACUCUUUAACAACAAUAAAGCUGCUUUAGUAAUUUUUGUGCCCACCAUCACUCAGAGCUUGUACAUAUUAAGGGCCGAGCAGUAUUUACUGCUAGGAACAAAGGAACGAAUAAAUGAAGCUAUUAAAUCUCAAAAAAAAAAAAAAAAAAAAAA